Molecule: long non-coding RNA, 1712 nt
Filed under: Equus caballus (horse)
Lineage: Eukaryota; Metazoa; Chordata; Mammalia; Perissodactyla; Equidae
Description: lncRNA (ENSECAG00000039439.3)
Source: RNAcentral
CCACGGCUCAGUACACGUGUACCCUUUGUCCUGUCACGUCUUUCCGCCGCUUUCCACUCUUCAAACCAGCGUCAAAACACAGGUUGAACCUUUUCUUCAGGCCUUCAUAAGGAUAUGCAGGGUCUCAUGUCACACAAAACUUACAUUAACAAAUUUCUAUGCCUUUCUCGUUCAUCUGUCUUUUGUUAAACCUGGGACCCAGUCGAGAACUUAAAAGCGUAGAGGAAAAAGAUAUUUCUCCUCGCCCUCAGUAUCCACCACAUUGUGUUCAUCCAUUCUUGUGGUUCACGCCUGUGUGUCUGAAUAAACAGAUGUCCUGCUGCGCCCAGGCCUCGGAACCCCAGCCUCGGCUGCUGGUCCCCAGGGAUGAGAUCCUUCUUGGAUUUGCUCUGCCCCCAAAACAGGAUCCAGGGUGUGCUCUGUCAUACAUGCGUUCCCUACAAGGGUUCUGGCUCCUGGGGAACAGAACUGUGCCCACUGGCAGUGCCGGGAGAGCGUGGAGCCAGCACCGAAGACUUGAGCAACCACCCUUUAGGGCUAAUUCACUGAGCCCUGGGAAAGUCAGACAGACACUCCCCGGCUCAUGCCAGCGGCCACAUCGCUGGGGACGUGCAUCUCCCAUCUGCCAGAGAUGGUAGGCUCUCUACUGCCCAAGCAGCAUGCCGCCCGGUGCGUCCUCAACAGUGUUUACUGAAUGAAGGAAGGAAGGAAGACAGGCUAAAGUGGUACCCUUUCCCCAUGCCUGGCUAAACACAGAAACUCCUCCAAAGUUAACCACCUUCACAGACUGACACAUUUUCUUAACUCAUGACCCACAUUUGAACGACAAGUUCAUUUCUACUGUGCUCUAGCAGCUUAGGUGCUGUGUUAGAUGGGUUCUCCCAGAAGCCGACCCAGAGAGCAGGAUUUGAAUGCAGCCGGGAGUGUUAGGAGCAGGGGAUACAGCUGUGGGAAUCACUGAAAAGGAACCACAUGAGAACAAGCAAAGGCUGCUUAUUCGGAGCCGACUGGAGCAAGGGAGUGGGCCAGCAUCACUUGCACCUGACAGAGACUCCAAGGCAGACGGGAGGAGCGGGGAAGCCUCAGAGUGGAAAGAAGAGAAGGAAGGCUUCAGGGGUUGACAGACUCUCGCUCCUUAACCGAACUUUAGUCAGUCUCCCCUACGCCCUUGGACCUUGUCCUUGGGCCUUGUCAUCAAGGGCAAGAAUCCUGCUAAAAACAGUAAAGCUGCCGUUCAGGAGGCUCAGAGCCCUGGGACCCAUCACAGGAUUGCUCUCCUGCCCCUCAUUUUCUCCACGCCCCACCAGCCUCGGCGCAGUGUUGGUGGCUAGACGACAAGGGGCCCCUGCGCUUCCCUGGAGGGCUGGCCUGCGCCAUCGUUGGGGGCUCCCCCAGCCACUUGCCCUUCUCCUUCAGGAAUCUCAGGGCUUCCAGGGAUCCCUAACACAGCUCCUCCAGGUCCUGCAGUGCACAGGACGGCCCCACAGCAAAGUCAUCUGGCCCCAAAUGUCAGUGGUGCUGAGGUUGGGAAAUCCUGAUCAACUUCGACCAAUACUAGCCGUGACUGUCAUCUUCCUUCUGAAUCCCCGGGGACCUCCCGGCGGGGGCCCAGAACCAGCAUUCAGGCCAGCGCCGCUUGGUUUCUGAGGAGCUUUCCUCAAGUCCCCUCGGUCCUGUCUCACAGCAUCCCUGCGAGGGAGGGCGUAUUCUCC